This 464-nucleotide ribosomal RNA is filed under the name uncultured Victivallaceae bacterium. Its description in RNAcentral is "bacterial SSU rRNA". It matches the Rfam family "Bacterial small subunit ribosomal RNA", at positions 29 to 505 of the family's 1533-position model. The record is from RNAcentral. Lineage: Bacteria; Pseudomonadati; Lentisphaerota; Lentisphaeria; Victivallales; Victivallaceae.
AAUGAACGCUGGCGGCAUGGAUUAGGCAUGCAAGUCGAACGAAGAAAUUGAAGCUUGCUUCAAUGGACGAGUGGCGAAAGGGUGAGUAACGCGUGAGUAACCUGCCCUCAAGACUGGGAUAACAACUGGAAACGGUUGCUAAUACCGGAUGUGGAUUUAGAAGGGAUUCCUUUUAAAUCUAAAAAUUUAUUGCUUGAGGAUGGGCUCGCGUUCCAUUAGUUAGUUGGUGAGGUAACGGCUCACCAAGACUGCGAUGGAUAGCUGGUCUGAGAGGAUGAUCAGCCACACUGGGACUGAGACACUGCCCAGACUCCUACGGGAGGCUGCAGUCGAGAAUCUUCCGCAAUGCACGAAAGUGUGACGGAGCAAUGCCGCGUGUGGGAUGACUGCCUUCGGGUUGUAAACCACUGUCACUAGGGACGAAGAUCUGACGGUACCUAGAGAGGAAGCCACGGCUAACUACG